CCUUCCCUCCUUCCUCUCGAUCUCCUCUCACCUCUGUCUCUCUUUCUUGCUGAACAGGGACCUCCAGGAGGGCCAUGGCGCCACUAGCCCUCAAUCUCGCCGGAUCCGGCCGCCUCCACGCCAAAUCCGCCGAAAAUGGAUCCAUCCCGUCCAGAUCCACCCGGAUCCGACCGGGCCCCCCAUCCUCGCCACUGGAGCACGACGGUCGGCGGGAGCGGCAUGACGUCGGGUAUGUAUGAGAAAAGAGAGAGAUGAGCAGGAGAGAAAAAGGGAGGACAAGAGGAGGCCAGAGGAAGAGAGAUGGGAGCGGUGACCGCGUACGACCGCCCCGACCACACGGUCGCGGCUUGGCCACCGCGGCCUCCGCGCGGAGCUUCGCGACUACGACCAGCCGGAGGUGGAGGCCAUCAUGUGGUGGGCCGUUAGGUCGGGCUUCAGGGACAACGUCGUCCUGCUCCGCAAGGUCAUCGGCCCCUACCUCAGCGCUAACGGCAGGUGCGUCAACGUCGACCACAGAGCUAGCUUCCCCUCCAGUAUUGGAUCGUCGAGCGCUUCCCUGCCAGGGAAGAUGGCAUACCUGCCUUUCCUGCCCUGCAUCUGAAUCCCCAUACGUGUACCUCCCCUUCAUGUUCAUCUACCUGGAGCUGGGACGGCGGAUCCCGUUCGUUCGGGCGCUCGAGGAGGGGUACUACCCCGAGGACGAAAGCCGGCGCCUGUUAUGGUUCAGGGGGUCCGCGUUCCGCCUGAGAGACGACAUGGCGUUCCUCGGGUUCCCUUGAAUGCGUGCAGCUCUCUCGCUCUCUCAUGUCUGAUGCACGCACGCUGUGCUACUGCUAUCUGGUGACUUGCUACGCACACACUGCAACAGGUUCUUCUUUGGUGUAUCAGGCCAGGCGUAAUUUGUUUUCAAAGAUGCUCACAUACACACACAAACGACAUCCAGUAGGCGCUUGGAACACCUGAUAGAUUGAAAGCACAGAAGCAAAUAUUUCCAAUACGAGGCCACGAUGCCCGACAGGGAUGUAGCCAAUAUGCGCCCAAUCCUUAUUUCUUGAUGUUGGAACAAGGCGGAACCCUACGUGGACGAUCUUUCACGUUGGAGCGGAUCCUACGGGGAAUCAUGAAGAACACGCGGAAGAACAAAGGGAAACACGGAGGAAACGAGAGAGAGAUCGCUCAACCAACAAGGAAUUAAUCACACAAGUGCUAGAUCAUCGAACACAAAGAGGUAC
Long non-coding RNA from Triticum aestivum (bread wheat), 1232 nucleotides. RefSeq lists it as uncharacterized. The record is from RefSeq and is a predicted model, not a curated record. The transcript has 5 exons. Lineage: Eukaryota; Viridiplantae; Streptophyta; Magnoliopsida; Poales; Poaceae.